UGCUUACCUGCAGUCGAACGAUGAUGCCCAGCUUGCUGGGCGGAUUAGUGGCGAACGGGUGAGUAAUACGUGAGUAACCUGCCCUUGACUCUGGGAUAAGCCUGGGAAACUGGGUCUAAUACUGGAUACUACCUCUUACCGCAUGGUGGGUGGUGGAAAGGGUUUUACUGGUUUUGGAUGGGCUCACGGCCUAUCAGCUUGUUGGUGGGGUAAUGGCUCACCAAGGCGACGACGGGUAGCCGGCCUGAGAGGGUGACCGGCCACACUGGGACUGAGACACGGCCCAGACUCCUACGGGAGGCAGCAGUGGGGAAUAUUGCACAAUGGGCGGAAGCCUGAUGCAGCGACGCCGCGUGAGGGAUGACGGCCUUCGGGUUGUAAACCUCUUUCAGUAGGGAAGAAGCGAGAGUGACGGUACCUGCAGAAGAAGCGCCGGCUAACUACGUGCCAGCAGCCGCGGUAAUACGUAGGGCGCAAGCGUUGUCCGGAAUUAUUGGGCGUAAAGAGCUCGUAGGCGGUUUGUCGCGUCUGCUGUGAAAGCCCGGGGCUCAACCCCGGGUCUGCAGUGGGUACGGGCAGACUAGAGUGCAGUAGGGGAGACUGGAAUUCCUGGUGUAGCGGUGAAAUGCGCAGAUAUCAGGAGGAACACCGAUGGCGAAGGCAGGUCUCUGGGCUGUUACUGACGCUGAGGAGCGAAAGCAUGGGGAGCGAACAGGAUUAGAUACCCUGGUAGUCCAUGCCGUAAACGUUGGGCACUAGGUGUGGGGGACAUUCCACGUUUUCCGCGCCGUAGCUAACGCAUUAAGUGCCCCGCCUGGGGAGUACGGCCGCAAGGCUAAAACUCAAAGGAAUUGACGGGGGCCCGCACAAGCGGCGGAGCAUGCGGAUUAAUUCGAUGCAACGCGAAGAACCUUACCAAGGCUUGACAUUCACCGGACCGCCCCAGAGAUGGGGUUUCCCUUCGGGGCUGGUGGACAGGUGGUGCAUGGUUGUCGUCAGCUCGUGUCGUGAGAUGUUGGGUUAAGUCCCGCAACGAGCGCAACCCUCGUUCUAUGUUGCCAGCACGUGAUGGUGGGGACUCAUAGGAGACUGCCGGGGUCAACUCGGAGGAAGGUGGGGAUGACGUCAAAUCAUCAUGCCCCUUAUGUCUUGGGCUUCACGCAUGCUACAAUGGCCGGUACAAAGGGUUGCGAUACUGUGAGGUGGAGCUAAUCCCAAAAAGCCGGUCUCAGUUCGGAUUGAGGUCUGCAACUCGACCUCAUGAAGUCGGAGUCGCUAGUAAUCGCAGAUCAGCAACGCUGCGGUGAAUACGUUCCCGGGCCUUGUACACACCGCCCGUCAAGUCACGAAAGUUGGUAACACCCGAAGCCGGUGGCCUAACCCCUUGUGGGAGGGAGCCGUCGAAGGU
This 1408-nucleotide ribosomal RNA is filed under the name Kocuria sp. RNAcentral describes it as "bacterial SSU rRNA". It matches the Rfam family "Bacterial small subunit ribosomal RNA". The record is from RNAcentral. Lineage: Bacteria; Bacillati; Actinomycetota; Actinomycetes; Micrococcales; Micrococcaceae.